RNAcentral lists this ribosomal RNA (329 nucleotides) under uncultured eukaryote. RNAcentral describes it as "partial 18S ribosomal RNA". It matches the Rfam family "Eukaryotic small subunit ribosomal RNA", at positions 1470 to 1796 of the family's 1831-position model. The record is from RNAcentral.
CCCUUAGAUGUUCUGGGCCGCACGCGCGCUACACUGACGAUGGCAACGAGUUUUUCCUUCGCCGAAAGGUGUGGGUAAUCUUUUGAAACAUCGUCGUGCUGGGGAUAGAUCAUUGCAAUUUUUGAUCUUGAACGAGGAAUUCCUAGUAAGCGCGAGUCAUCAGCUCGCGUUGAUUACGUCCCUGCCCUUUGUACACACCGCCCGUCGCUACUACCGAUUGAAUGGUUUAGUGAGGACUCCUGAUUGGCGCCGCCGCCCCGGCAACGGAGCAGCGGACUGCCGAAAAGUUGUUCAAACUUGAUCAUUUAGGGGAAGUAAAAGUCGUAACA